This is a long non-coding RNA of Ostrea edulis (European flat oyster), 2974 nucleotides long. RefSeq lists it as uncharacterized. Lineage: Eukaryota; Metazoa; Mollusca; Bivalvia; Ostreida; Ostreidae. The transcript has 10 exons. The record is from RefSeq and is a predicted model, not a curated record.
AUAUUUGGGGGCAAAUCAAAUAGCAACGUUACCAAAUGGAAUAUUUGAUGCAUUGACGAAGCUAGAGAUACUAGACUUGGGUAACAAUAACAUAACAACGUUACCAAAUGGAAUCUUUGAUGCAUUGACGAAGCUACAGAAACUUGGAUUAUAUGGAAACCCUCUAAUUUGCAAUUGUCCAUUAGUCGACAUUGUUCUCUUGGUGAAAAGAAGACGAUUACAGUGGAUUUCCCGUCCUUCCUGUCACAGCCCUGUGACUCUAAGAAAACCAUUGCUGACGGACCUGAAACUCCAAGAAGUAAUUUGUGAUUCAGAUUUCAUCCCAGUUUCCACUGAUGCAGAAACUGUCUUUUCGACAAUAACCGGAUUUGGCAAGUAUUCAACAUGUACCAAACAUUUUGAACAAUGUAUACAACACUGAUUUGUAAAGUAGCAAUUUACAGUAUACGUCAAUGACACAUGAUGCAUGAAUUUAUCAGCAAUGAAUGACAUUGUAUCUCUUGCCGCUAACAUCAUUGAAAACAUCGAUUUGAAAUGGCUUUAAAGCUUGAAGAAUUCCAAUCCACGAGGUAAACUCCUUGUGUAGAGAUUGGAUUAUUGUCCAAUAUCUAAACUGCCCUUGGCAUCGGAAGUAAGUUUGUUAUUUUAUGUAGUUAUUUACAAAUAGUAUGACAUACCCUAUCAAUGCAUAUACAUGCGCAGACAUAUAUAUGUACAGAUACAUCUCUAAUGUUAACAAUUUGUCCCACAUACCAUUGUGUACCGUGAGUAGGAUCUAAUUUGAUGCGAUUUCGAAUGACUUUUAAACAUUACAGACAUCUGACAUCUGUCUACAUAAUCAGAUCUGUCUUGUUUGAUAUGCCGCUGAUUAAGGUGUUGUCAGUAAAACGUGGAAACAGUCAUCAUUCUCAUACAGCUGACAAUACGAGUCAACUGAAUCUUUGCAUGAUCCUGAUUAAUUGUAAAGUUGGUUUUUUUUUACCUGGGGUCAAUUUGCACAACAAUUUACUGUUAGUUAUUGUCUCAAAAGUAGCAUAUCGUCAUGUGAUUAGGAAAAAUGAUGAUACCUUUAUACAUUUCAAAUAAAUGUCCGUAAUGUAAUCUAUAUUAUAAAACAGCAACAACUUUUUUCAUUCAUGUAUUGAAAUCCAUCAAACGGACACACUGUAUAAAAUGAAAAGUGAUCAAUUAGAACAGCUCACAAAUCAAUAAAACCAUGGAAGAUUCACCAAUGCACUGCUACCUAGAGACCGUAGUAGACAUGCAUCCCUGUCUUCAGCGCUGAUGGGCCUUUAUAUCCAUAUAUUCAACUCUGGUGUGUAUUUAUAUUCCAUUUGUCAAUGAUGGUGAGUAAAACUAUUUUCUCUCUCUAUGGAAUAGGCUACUAUAUAUAAAGCAAAACAUCAUUAAUGUAACUAUGUAAAAAGUUACACGUUUACUUGUUAUGUACAAGUUCACCUUUUGUUUGGUGUCUAUAAGGUAUAAUUUUACUCGGUAUGUAUUUAUAAUGUCAUACCUUUUCUCGCUAUAUACAUCGUAUACGUUUACUUGUUAUGUUCAAGUUCUACUUUUUCUUUAGUUAUAAGUGUACUCGGUGUGUAUAAGGCAUGCGUUUACAUCGCCUAUACAAGUUAUUCGUGUAUUCUGUACGUCUGGAGAGAUGAGGGAUCGAAUAAAAAUCACAUUAUUUUCCUGUUUAUUACACUUAUUACAAUGACGACAAUAAUCGCAAACAUGGAAUCCGGUAAGUUUUCAAUAUUAUUUUAUUGUUUAUUUCUAUUAUCGUAUUUGAACAUUUCAGAAGAUCAGAAAAGAAGAUGUGACUGUUGGGUAAACAAUGGCGUGGUCUGCUGUGGUUUUUUUUUUUCUUUGGAUCGGUACCAGAUACUGACGGGCGGAUUAAAAUCCAGACACAGAUGGGAUUCGAGCAUUCUACAUUCCGCACAUAAUUCAGAAGCUCUAUCCACUACGCCGCUGGCGUUGACGACAUCUGUUGAACAUAACCUGUUUGGAAGAUACGGAAUCACUUCAAAUUCUGCUGAUUACACCAUCCCCAAAUAUAUUUCAAGGACAAUAUGUUGAGAAGGGUGUAAAAAUGAUGAAUACUGGAUAGCACGAGAUAAGCAUUAUAUCAACAGUAAGAGAAGGAGCAAUAUCGCCAUUUGAUGAUUUGCCCACUGGACAUACCACGACUGCCACUCCAGUUCACUCGGCUGUACAUUGAAUUAGUAUUGGCUUCGGCUGGAGGGAGAGCUUAGACUGUGAUGGACUGGUGUCGCACUCUGUUACUCUUAUCCGUUAACCACGUAUCAUUCCGAGGAAUGACAAUGAUGAUCAGAACUCGUCAGUACCUCCGCAACUAGUAGGAUUCAGAAGUAUUCAUAGAGUUUUUCACCCCAAUCUCAAAUGAUGUGGUUGAUGCAGAACCCGCAUUCCUUAUGGUGAACUGAAACUACUUCAAGUGAAAAGUGCCACAGGAUGACAAAACUUUCUCAUGAUGGAGACGUCAACAAUGCCGGUGAAGGGCUUCAAAAUUUAGGCCUAUGAUUGGAGCUUACAACCUUUGAGCAGGGGGUCUUUAUUCUGCCACACCUGCUGUGACACAGGGCCUCGGAUUUUGUUGUCUUAUCCGAAGGACCGCCCCAUUUAGUCGCCUCUUACGACAAGCAGGAAUACUGAGGACCUAUUCUAACCCGGAUCACGGAGGUGUAUCGUCCAUAAUCAGAUCCACAAAAAUUCCACAGGAAACCAACCAACAGGACGGACACAGAAUUGUGUACACUCGAUUUAAGAUGCAGAUAUUGAAUUUAAUUUCUAUCAAUAUGUUGAUGAGUUUAUACAUGUGAUAACUAAGUGAUGAUACACAAUAUACUGUCUGUCAUCGUAAAUAAAUGAUAACAUACGUGUUGUAAUAAUCUGUGGUCAACUGACGAGAAAAUUACGUUUUGUUUGAAUAAAAUAUUUUAUUUAGGCA